GACGAACGCUGGCGGCGUGCUUAACACAUGCAAGUCGAACGAUGAACCCGGAGCUUGCUCUGGGGGAUUAGUGGCGAACGGGUGAGUAACACGUGAGUAACCUGCCCUGGACUCUGGGAUAAGCGUUGGAAACGACGUCUAAUACCGGAUAGGACCUUGGAUCGCAUGAUCUGGGGUGGAAAGUUUUUUCGGUCUGGGAUGGACUCGCGGCCUAUCAGCUUGUUGGUGAGGUAAUGGCUCACCAAGGCGUCGACGGGUAGCCGGCCUGAGAGGGUGACCGGCCACACUGGGACUGAGACACGGCCCAGACUCCUACGAGAGGCAGCAGUGGGGAAUAGUGCACAAUGGGCGAAAGCCUGAUGCAGCAACGCCGCGUGCGGGAUGACGGCCUUCGGGUUGUAAACCGCUUUUAGUAGGGAAGAAGGGCUUCGGCUUGACGGUACCUGCAGAAAAAGGACCGGCUAACUACGUG
This 472-nucleotide ribosomal RNA is filed under the name uncultured bacterium. Its description in RNAcentral is "partial 16S ribosomal RNA". It matches the Rfam family "Bacterial small subunit ribosomal RNA", at positions 28 to 507 of the family's 1533-position model. The record is from RNAcentral.